CACUGAAAUUGUACUAUUUCCGGAAUCAAGAAGCUGUUGUUCGCGUCUGAGCACGUUGUAAUUUAUGCAAAUAGUUGGUUUAUUAUGGAUUUUGAUUUUGAUAUUGAGUGAUAAAAUCGUCGAUUACUUGCUAGUUCAACUUUGAAUCAUAGUUUAUUAUUGUUUAUUGGAAAAUGGUUGGAUCACGAGUGUAUGUUGGUGGUCUCCCCUUUGGAGUAAGAGAGAGAGACUUGGAAAAGUUCUUCAAAGGUUUUGGAAGAAUCAGAGACAUACUUAUCAAGAAUGGAUAUGGUUUUGUUGAAUUUGAAGAUUACAGAGAUGCAGAUGAUGCUGUGUACGAGCUAAAUGGAAAAGAACUAUUGGGUGAAAGGGUGGUGGUGGAGCCAGCGAGGGGCAUCGAUCGCAGCGCUGACCGGUACCGGCGCGGCGACCGGCACUACGAGCGCUCCGGCGGCGGCCGCUCGCGAUACGAUGAUGACUACAAUUAUAGAUACGGACCGCCAACGCGCACCGAGUAUCGACUUAUCGUCGAGAAUUUGUCUAGCCGCAUUAGCUGGCAGAAGGUGGCCAGUCCGGUCGAUGUGCGUUGCGCUGUGUGAUGUGGUCUCAGGCGAUGUAGAGUUGCGCCGCGUCGUCCGGCGCCCGCAUGCGAGCAGCCCGCCAGGAUUUGAAAGACUAUAUGCGUCAAGCUGGCGAAGUGACUUACGCUGACGCCCAUAAACAACAUAGGAAUGAAGG
RNAcentral lists this unclassified non-coding RNA (738 nucleotides) under Bombyx mandarina (wild silkworm). RNAcentral describes it as "serine-arginine protein 55, transcript variant X2". Lineage: Eukaryota; Metazoa; Arthropoda; Insecta; Lepidoptera; Bombycidae. The record is from RNAcentral.